CUUCCGGAGCUAACGCGUUAAGUCGACCGCCUGGGGGAGUACGGCAGCAAGGUUAAAACUCAAAUGAAUUGACGGGGGCCCGCACAAGCGGUGGAGCAUGUGGUUUAAUUCGAUGCAACGCGAAGAACCUUACCUAGUCUUGACAUCCAGAGAACUUAGCAGAGAUGCUUUGGUGCCUUCGGGAACUCUGAGACAGGUGCUGCAUGGCUGUCGUCAGCUCGUGUUGUGAAAUGUUGGGUUAAGUCCCGCAACGAGCGCAACCCUUUUCCUUUGUUGCCAGCGGUUCGGCCGGGAACUCAAAGGAGACUGCCAGUGAUAAACUGGAGGAAGGUGGGGAUGACGUCAAGUCAUCAUGGCCCUUACGAGUAGGGCUACACACGUGAUACAAUGGCAUAUACAAAGAGAAGAGACCUCGCGAGAGCAAGCGGACCUCAUAAAGUAUGUCGUAGUCCGGAUUGGAGUCUGCAACUCGACUCCAUGAAGUGGGAAUCGAUAGUAAUGGUAGAUCAGAAUGCUACGGAGAAUACGUUCCCGGGCCUUGUACACACCUCCCAACACACCAUGGGAGUGGGCUCAAAAAAGAGGGGGUAGUUUCCCCCUUGGGGAGGGAGCUUCCAUUUUUGGCCCCUUUUUCUCUUA
RNAcentral lists this ribosomal RNA (639 nucleotides) under Kluyvera cryocrescens. Its description in RNAcentral is "bacterial SSU rRNA". It matches the Rfam family "Bacterial small subunit ribosomal RNA", at positions 843 to 1477 of the family's 1533-position model. The record is from RNAcentral. Lineage: Bacteria; Pseudomonadati; Pseudomonadota; Gammaproteobacteria; Enterobacterales; Enterobacteriaceae.